GCCCCCAUCGUCUAGGGGCCUAGGACGUCGCCUUUUCAAGGCGCAAACGGGGAUUCGAAUUCCCCUGGGGGU
This 72-nucleotide transfer RNA is filed under the name Microspora sp. UTEX LB472. RNAcentral describes it as "tRNA-Glu". It matches the Rfam family "tRNA". From Rfam's summary of the family: Transfer RNA (tRNA) molecules are approximately 80 nucleotides in length. Their secondary structure includes four short double-helical elements and three loops (D, anti-codon, and T loops). Lineage: Eukaryota; Viridiplantae; Chlorophyta; Chlorophyceae; Microsporaceae. The record is from RNAcentral.